Molecule: ribosomal RNA, 437 nt
Filed under: uncultured Alphaproteobacteria bacterium
Lineage: Bacteria; Pseudomonadati; Pseudomonadota; Alphaproteobacteria
Description: bacterial SSU rRNA
Rfam family: Bacterial small subunit ribosomal RNA
Source: RNAcentral
GCUUAACACAUGCAAGUCGAACGGGCGUAGCAAUACGUCAGUGGCGCACGGGUGAGUAACGCGUGGGCAACCUACCUGGUGGUACGGAAUAACCGCGGGAAACUGCGGCUAAUACCGUAUGCCCCCUACGGGGGAAAGAUUUAUCGCCAUCAGAUGGGCCCGCGUAGGAUUAGCUAGUUGGUGAGGUAACGGCUCACCAAGGCGACGAUCCUUAGCUGGUCUGAGAGGAUGAUCAGCCACACUGGGACUGAGACACGGCCCAGACUCCUACGGGAGGCAGCAGUGGGGAAUAUUGGACAAUGGGCGCAAGCCUGAUCCAGCCAUGCCGCGUGAGUGAUGAAGGCCUUCGGGUUGUAAAGCUCUUUUGGCGGGGACGAUGAUGACGGUACCCGCAGAAUAAGCCCCGGCUAACUUCGUGCCAGCAGCCGCGGUAAUAC